UUCCCUUUUGAGAUUCUCAGCCACGCUCUCUAGAGGGAACUGGGAUAACGUAGACUCUAAAGUUGUGGUUGGCCCCCACAUCAUCUGUGUGCCUACAGUCCUGUUUCUGAAGCACUGAACUAGUCCCGCAGGGCUGCACAGGUGCUGCUUGUGUGUUUGCCAGACCAUUCUGCAGCAUUCAAGUGAGGGAUUUUGGCGAGUCCCUGUCUCACCCUUGCCUAUGAGAGCAAGGAGAGGAAGAAACCCUCCUGGAUGAAGCCGUUGUGCCUUCCUGACCUUCUGCCCCAAAAUGCAAGAGAGCCAACAUCGGGGAGGGAAGCAACAUGACUUGAGAGUGGCUGUUUUGUCCGACUACACCGCGCUCUGGUGCGCCUCCAUCCCACAACCAUGUCCUGCUACGAUCUGUGCCGUCCCUGUGGGCCAACCCCGCUUGCCAACAGCUGCAACGAGCCCUGUGUCCGGCAGUGCCAG
Molecule: long non-coding RNA, 471 nt
Filed under: Cairina moschata (Muscovy duck)
Lineage: Eukaryota; Metazoa; Chordata; Aves; Anseriformes; Anatidae
Description: domestica (muscovy Duck (domestic type)) lncRNA (ENSCMMG00000009010.1)
Source: RNAcentral